GUAAUACUGAGGAGUCCCAAACUAGGACGAAACAGCUGUCCAGUAC
This 46-nucleotide non-coding RNA is filed under the name Trichobilharzia regenti. Lineage: Eukaryota; Metazoa; Platyhelminthes; Trematoda; Strigeidida; Schistosomatidae. The record is from RNAcentral.